CUGCGGGGAUGAUCCACUGAACUCUCUCUUGCUGAUGGGCUGGUGGAGAAGCUCCUGAACACGCUCUGAGUGGC
This is a small nucleolar RNA of Lepidothrix coronata (blue-crowned manakin), 74 nucleotides long. Its record names the gene SNORD26. It matches the Rfam family "Small nucleolar RNA SNORD26". Rfam says of the family: U26 is a member of the C/D class of snoRNA which contain the C (UGAUGA) and D (CUGA) box motifs. U26 is encoded within the U22 snoRNA host gene (UHG) in mammals and is thought to act as a 2'-O-ribose methylation guide for ribosomal RNA. The record is from Ensembl. Lineage: Eukaryota; Metazoa; Chordata; Aves; Passeriformes; Pipridae.